RNAcentral lists this signal recognition particle RNA (266 nucleotides) under Anaerolineae bacterium. RNAcentral's name for it is "signal recognition particle sRNA large type". It matches the Rfam family "Bacterial large signal recognition particle RNA". From Rfam's summary of the family: The signal recognition particle (SRP) is a universally conserved ribonucleoprotein involved in the co-translational targeting of proteins to membranes. Archaeal SRP consists of a 7S RNA and homologues of the eukaryotic SRP19 and SRP54 proteins. In most bacteria, the SRP consists of a 4.5S RNA and the Ffh protein (a homologue of the eukaryotic SRP54 protein). Lineage: Bacteria; Bacillati; Chloroflexota; Anaerolineae. The record is from RNAcentral.
UCGCGCUAGACGGGGAGCUGGCGGUGUCCUGUACCCGCAAUCCGCCAUAGCGGGGUCGAAUUCCCUUCAAGAGGGCUUAGUGCACCUGGGACUGCUUCUGUCGGUCGGCGUCGAAGGGCGGGUCCUGCGCAGCAGGAGCCCCCAAACCCCGCCAGGUCCGGGAGGAAGCAACGGUAAGGAGACCCUCCUGGGUGCCGCAGGGGUGCCUGCCCGGAGCCGGGCGGCAGCGACAAGCCGGGUAGCACGGUUCGAAGGAGGGUGCGCGG